GACGUAUAUAAAACAUAUACUCAACUGCACAUUUAGUUUAGUAAUAGCUCUCCAAACACUACACAGCAAAAAGGAGGUAAAAAGGCCAACAUAUAGCCACACCAACAUUAGAAACACAGGAAAGUCUUGAUUAGUUAUUCCAAUCAAGACGAAAAAGAAGAAAUGGCAUGCCAAUGCACAACGAUUGUCUCCUUACUAGUUUGGGUAUCACAUCAGUUGAAACAAUUAAAACCCUUGUUCCACGGCAUCAGAUAAUAUACAAAAUAUGAAAUAUCAUAGAAAACUAACCAUAUGCGAUUAAUAACUACAUCUAGACCAUAAUCUGCACACCAUCUUCAUAAAUCACAACUAGUAACUGAAGCACUGGCACAUGUGCACAGAAGAGGAAUCCAAGUAUAUCAAGUCUAAGCUACCCACUACUCAGCUAAGAAUGUAAACUGACAGCAGUCUGAUUAAGCAUAC
This 462-nucleotide unclassified non-coding RNA is filed under the name Hevea brasiliensis (rubber tree). Lineage: Eukaryota; Viridiplantae; Streptophyta; Magnoliopsida; Malpighiales; Euphorbiaceae. The record is from RNAcentral.